Molecule: ribosomal RNA, 333 nt
Filed under: uncultured bacterium
Lineage: Bacteria
Description: bacterial SSU rRNA
Rfam family: Bacterial small subunit ribosomal RNA
Source: RNAcentral
CGCGUAGGCGGUCUUUUAAGUCUGAGGUGAAAGGUUCAGCGCUCAACGUGAACAGUGCCUUGGAUACUGGGAGACUUGAGUAUGGGAGAGGGCAGUGGAAUGGCUGGUGUAGCGGUGAAAUGCGUAGAUAUCAGUCGGAACACCCAUGGCGAAGGCAGCUGCCUGGCCUAAUACUGACGCUGAGGUGCGAAAGCGUGGGGAGCGAACGGGAUUAGAUACCCCGGUAGUCCACGCCGUAAACGAUGAGUGCUAGGUGUCAGCGGUAUCGACCCCGCUGGUGCCGUCGCUAACGCAUUAAGCACUCCGCCUGGGGAGUACGGCCGCAAGGUUGAA